UGGAAGGGAGGUAAUACGUGGGGAAUUUUGGACAAUGGGGGCAACCCUGAUCCAGCCAUGCCGCGUGAGUGAAGAAGGCCUUCGGGUUGGCAGCUCUUUCGGCUGGGAAGAAAUCGCAUCUCCUAAUACGGGGUGUGGAUGACGGUACCAGCAUAAGAAGCACCGGCUAACUACGUGCUCAGGGCCGCGGUAAUACGUAGG
RNAcentral lists this ribosomal RNA (201 nucleotides) under uncultured bacterium. RNAcentral's name for it is "partial 16S ribosomal RNA". It matches the Rfam family "Bacterial small subunit ribosomal RNA", at positions 340 to 531 of the family's 1533-position model. The record is from RNAcentral.